Molecule: ribosomal RNA, 467 nt
Filed under: uncultured bacterium
Lineage: Bacteria
Description: partial 16S ribosomal RNA
Rfam family: Bacterial small subunit ribosomal RNA
Source: RNAcentral
ACGAACGCUGGCGGCGUGCUUAACACAUGCAAGUCGAACGGAAAGGCCCUGCUUUUGUGGGGUGCUCGAGUGGCGAACGGGUGAGUAACACGUGAGUAACCUGCCCUUGACUUUGGGAUAACUUCAGGAAACUGGGGCUAAUACCGGAUAGGAGCUCCUGCUGCAUGGUGGGGGUUGGAAAGUUUCGGCGGUUGGGGAUGGACUCGCGGCUUAUCAGCUUGUUGGUGGGGUAGUGGCUUACCAAGGCUUUGACGGGUAGCCGGCCUGAGAGGGUGACCGGCCACAUUGGGACUGAGAUACGGCCCAGACUCCUACGGGAGGCAGCAGUAGGGAAUAUUGCACAAUGGGCGGAAGCCUGAUGCAGCAACGCCGCGUGCGGGAUGACGGCCUUCGGGUUGUAAACCGCUUUCGCCUGUGACGAAGCGUGAGUGACGGUAAUGGGUAAAGAAGCACCGGCUAACUACGUG